UCAUUUCUAUCCCUGUGACUCUUCAAGGCUGAGGUUGGGAGGCCUGUAAUUCCUUUCACCUGCACACCACCACCAAGUUAUCACAAAGUACCUGAAGUGAAGUUAUCACCCCGCAGAGCCCAAUUGGAUCUCAUCUAUACUCUGAGGCAUGAAGCUUUUCCUACUCUCAGGUGUGAGCUUCAGCUACAACCUGAAUCCAAUGAAAGGCUCUAUAACACUACAAAAAUGUAAUGCAAAGUGAUUUUCCUUCCACAGAGGAAAAAGGAACUCAGGAAGUAGAGAAGAAGACCCAAUGAACAUGGCAUGAACAUCUAUUAGAGGCCUGAGGCAUUUGCACAGAUGGACACCAUGGGUUGCUAACAGAGAAAUAUGGGUGGAGAACUACUACUGCCCUGUUCUGCUCCAGCAUUGAUCCUAACCCACAUCGAUCAAUGGUACUUUCACCUUUACAACUUCAGCUUGAGAGCAUUUGGUUUGCAGUGUCAGUUACAUGGCUGUCUCUCUCCGUCCCUAGAAAGAGAGUAUUUAACUGGGAAAACUGGAGUUCUAAUAAUUCAAUAGAAAGGUUACAAUAAAUAUUCAAUUACUUUUUUUUUUUUUUUUUUAAUUUAUUUUUCUUAAGGACUUCAGUAUAGUUAUACAUGUGCAGCCAUAGCCUGAAUAGUAACUUGAAUAAUGUUACAUUUCUCAUAACAUGUUUAAUUACAGCAUUUCUUAGCCAAGUUAAUGACAUAAAAGUUCAAAAAAGAGCAGCAAGACCCUAAUUAAUAAUAAUCCUCUUUCUAAAGAAUAUACAGAAAUUUGGGAAAUUAGUAUGAAGAGAGCUAUUGGUCUUUCUAAUCCAUCCUUUUUCUUUGGACUGCUAUUCAUUAGCCAUGCCCCAGUGUGCUCUCUGCUCACUGCUGUUCUACUCCAUGCUAUUUGAAUCUUCAUCUUUUGUUAGACUUUUCAAUAUCCUAAUUAUGUUUUUAAGUGAAAAAUCUCUCACUAAACCCCAGCAUAAACCUCCUUCUCAUUUCUAAUUUCAAGUCACAGUGGAAACAAGACAAUGACCAUGACAAAGUCAGACUUCUUUGUAUUACAUUUGUUACAUUUAAGUUGUCCUGUCAGCAACAUUUUUCAGACCAAGGACAUUCAAACUCUGAAAGACAAGCAAUGGCUAUAAUAUAGCCAAAGGCAAAAACAGCAAGGAAUUUUCAGUAAGGAACUUUAGGGAAGCCUUUAUAUGAAGCUUUAGCUUGACAUUAAUUAUUUAAUUAUUAAAGACUUACUUUUUUAGACCAAGUAGAGGAAUAUGGUCAAGAAAAACGUCCAGUAUCAAUUGCUGUGUGGGUUUUAUUGUGCCAUAUGUAAAUAAAGUCUUGGCUCCUAGAUCCAAUCUCUCUCUGAACUAGGGGUCAGAUGAGAGUGGGGAAAAUGUGGGCAAAUUGCCUUUUUUUUUUUUCCCCAUUAAAAGUGAUGAAGAACUUCCUUAUACAAUUUAAAUGACAUGCCUGUGGUGGCAUGUGGCAGAUUGUCUCCCCACAAUGCAUUUUUUUUUUUUUUGCUAAACAUCCUGUCAGUUUGCUUCAAUGAGUUCUGAAUUGUCUUAUCUAUGCCCCUAGGGAAAAAAGUCAGUUGUCUUUAUAAACCCAUGUUUUAGGAUGUUUUGAAAGUCUGGCCUAGUCUAUGAGGAAGAGACACUCUGUGGCACAUUCCUUAAUCAUGGCCCCAGUGGUGACUGCAUUCAGAGGAGAGCACAUGUUGGAAAGUAACAGCAAACCCUUCUGGGCUCAGCAACUGUGAAAAAUAGGCCAUAGGAAGAAGACUAAAGUCUGCUCGGCUCUUCUGAAAUGGAUUUGUAUCAUGCAGGCCCAGAACCUUCAGACCAUGGAAGUGCACUUCGUGCCCCCUUGGGAGGUCAUAAUCGAAGCAUAGCAUUUAAAAGUGUUAAUCAGCUGCAACAGAAGCAUUAAACAACAACAACAACAAAACAAACAAAAAAACAACAGCUAACAAAACAAACAAACAAACAAAACAAAAAAAACCACACCAUCUCUUAUGUGUGUGACAUUAGAUGCAAAGUCUACACAAGGUGUUCCACAAGUAGGUGAAAGCUUCCAGAAUUUCACAAUGAAGUAUGGAGUUUGUAAAUUAAAUUCCAAAAUGCCAUGAGAUGCCAAUUUAAUCAGUUACCUCAGAACCAACAUGAAAUGCUAAAACCAGUUCAGUUGUUUAUCAGUACUCAGUAUUUUGAGGGCUUCAACCCACUUGGUUCUCAGGAUUUAGUGUAGGGGUCUGGCUGACAUGGUCCCUACUCUUAAAAAAGUACAUGUGUUACCAUGUGCUGUGAAAACCUCAUCAGUUCUGGAUGUUUACAUACAACUCUUGUCUAUGUAAGUAGUCUGUGUUGGAUGUUGUGCAUUUACAUAGACCGUUGAAUAGCAUUAUGGUUGCUUUGUAUUUUUUUUACUUUUAUAGUAACCAUGGUUUCUGUGACUGCAGAUGUAAGCUGGCAGGCACAUUCUCCAUCUGAUA
Long non-coding RNA from Anas platyrhynchos (mallard), 2517 nucleotides. RefSeq lists it as uncharacterized. The record is from RefSeq and is a predicted model, not a curated record. Lineage: Eukaryota; Metazoa; Chordata; Aves; Anseriformes; Anatidae.